GAUGAACGCUGGCGGCGUGCCUAAUACAUGCAAGUCGAACGAACGGACGAGAAGCUUGCUUCUCUGAUGUUAGCGGCGGACGGGUGAGUAACACGUGGAUAACCUACCUAUAAGACUGGGAUAACUUCGGGAAACCGGAGCUAAUACCGGAUAAUAUUUUGAACCGCAUGGUUCAAAAGUGAAAGACGGUCUUGCUGUCACUUAUAGAUGGAUCCGCGCUGCAUUAGCUAGUUGGUAAGGUAACGGCUUACCAAGGCAACGAUGCAUAGCCGACCUGAGAGGGUGAUCGGCCACACUGGAACUGAGACACGGUCCAGACUCCUACGGGAGGCAGCAGUAGGGAAUCUUCCGCAAUGGGCGAAAGCCUGACGGAGCAACGCCGCGUGAGUGAUGAAGGUCUUCGGAUCUUAAAACUCUGUUAUUAGGGAAGAACAUAUGUGUAAGUAACUGUGCACAUCUUGACGGUACCUAAUCAGAAAGCCACGGCUAACUACGUG
RNAcentral lists this ribosomal RNA (497 nucleotides) under uncultured bacterium. RNAcentral's name for it is "partial 16S ribosomal RNA". It matches the Rfam family "Bacterial small subunit ribosomal RNA", at positions 28 to 507 of the family's 1533-position model. The record is from RNAcentral.